GGUUUAGAACGUCGUGAGACAGUUUGGUCCCUAUCUACUGUGUACAUUGAAAAUCAAGGAAAUUAUUCUUCAGUACGAGAGGACCGAGAAAUGCAAACCUAUUGUGUAUCGGUUGUUUUUUAAGCAUCGCCGAGUAGCUACGUUUGUAAUAGAUAAUCACUGAAAGCAUAUAAGUGAGAAGCCAAUUCCAAGAUAAAUUUUCUCAAAGCCGUAAUAGACGAUUACGUUGUUGUAAAAGACUUGCAAGAAAACUUUGAAGUUUUUUUGUAGAUAGGCUUUUUGUGUAAGGGUAGUAAUACUUGAAGCUAAAAAGUA
RNAcentral lists this ribosomal RNA (315 nucleotides) under Florenciella parvula. RNAcentral's name for it is "partial Bacterial large subunit ribosomal RNA". It matches the Rfam family "Bacterial large subunit ribosomal RNA", at positions 2608 to 2900 of the family's 2925-position model. Lineage: Eukaryota; Dictyochophyceae; Florenciellales. The record is from RNAcentral.